Struthio camelus australis is the source of this 2767-nucleotide non-coding RNA. NCBI's taxonomy places the organism in Eukaryota, Metazoa, Chordata, Aves, Struthioniformes, Struthionidae. The record is from RefSeq and is a predicted model, not a curated record.
AUGUACUCUCAGAGGGGAAUCUGUAGCUAAAGAACACACCUGCACCGUGCAUCCCAGACUCAUUCAAGACUCUUUUCAUUGAUGGAAGAAUUGAAUGUGGCCCUCACGUCCUGGUCAAAGCCCGUGACUCUGGAACUUUCAGGAGAGAAACAUCACAGAAGCAGCAAAUGGGAGUAUGUUUUCACACGUGGUUACACAUUGGGUUUUUGUACCGAUGAAUCCCCGUGGGAGAAGUUUGAAUUAAAGAGUUGCAGGGCUAAUGCCACAUCAUAAUCGUCAGCCGUCCCCCCACCACCAUUCAGCCAGCUGGAAGAAAGGCCAAUGCUCUGCUCUUUGUGAAGCCAAGGGCAUCUCAGGAAACGUGUCCCAGGGGAUGCAUCUCAACUUGGUCAGCCUUCCUGUUCACUCCUGUCCUAAUCCCACCUCCUACACUUGUAUUUGGAGUGGGUAAGCAACUCAGCCUAGGCAUUUUAUGCCUCUCAGAGUGAGACUAAUUACAUAACAUACCAUUUUUGGCUGGACAGUGGAACGAGGUCUCAAUAACGCUGUGGCCAUGCAGGCUGUUUUUGUUUGCUCUCAAUUUUUUUAAGACUGUAAUUACAGAGACCUUCCUGGGAAGAGUAAAUUGCAGGCAGAAUAGUUGACUGAGAGCACGCUUUUCUUGCACCUCAUUCAUACAAACAAAUAAUAUCUAAUAAUGUGACUCAAGCCCAUUUCUAGUGUAGCUGGCUGAAGUAAGUAUUUUUCUGUCGAACACCUUUUGUUGUGCUCUGCAAACACAAGCUGCUAGAAUGACCUCAGCACUUCUUUAGCUUUUAUUCAAAGUCACUGAGAUGUUUAUGAUUCAGUUUCCUCCCCCGUCUCAGCAAUAAAUACCCACACAGCAAAGACCAGGAAAUCUGCCAAUCCAGUAAAUGACUCCUUUACAUUGUUCUUACUGCACAAAGAAGGUUUUUUUGCUUCAUCCCAAAAUGCCAUCCUGCAGGAGUUACUUUAUAAUGAACCAGCGAUGCCCAGCAGAGUUGGGCAACACAUCAGAGGAAAGACAGUGUCGUGUACACUGAAGCAAGGUGAAAAAGAAGAGAAGGCAUAAUUACUUUUAAAUUUUGAAUCACUCAGUGAUUCUAUUGCUUUUCUACAAAGUUUAUAUUUUCAUGGAAGUGACUUUUCAGUCAUUCUUCAUAGUUGUACUCAGGAGUACCUGAAUAUCUAAGUAGUCUUUUAUUCUUUUCUGCUUUCUAAGUAAGAAACCAAAGUAUUUGGCUGCACUUUUUGCUGCUGAUGCAUUAAAGGAUGAUCAAGACAGCUGAAGCAAACUGUUUGCAAACAGCCUCUAAACUUCUAUAUGUCUAGAUAGGGCAUAUUAAACUUUUUUUAACAAAGCAGUCCCUCAGAGCAUAAGCCUGGGCACACAUCAUUUGCAAGCUAAAGAAAAGGCUGCUUUCGUAGGGUAGUUUGCACAUUAUGAAUUGUUCAGCUCUGAAGUGUGCUAUAAAGCAGAGAUGAACAUAAUCUUUGACUGCCUUUCUAUGUCUGCCCAAAGAAUAAUAUUGUUCUAAUUUACAAAUGUGGCAGAAAGAUGGGUUUAAGAAUAAUCUUGUUCCACCCUUACUAUUCUGCCAGUGAGCUCUAAGGUAGAUGUGGGCUAUCAGUGUUUUUGUUUCCCUGUAAAGAUAGAUUUUCAACAUUUAUUUACCAUUCAGGAAUAAGGAUAAAACACCUCCAGAGAAUUAAUUAAAAAAAAAAAAAAGAAUGUUCAGAAAGCAAAAGCUACAAUCAGACUGGCUCAGAGAUUUCUGCCCUUGAGAAUUUGAUUCUCUUCCUUAUCUCAGGACGUAUGCUCAGCCUGUGAGUACAGGCAUCCACACAUUUUCCUCCUUCGGAUAAAGCCGGAUUCCACUGUGGCACAAAGUUACAUAAAGAGUUUUUUCCUUGCCCCCAGUGAAAAUAGGAGGAGGAGGAAACAACAAGGAAGGUUUCUCUUUUGUUGUAGGUUUCUCUGUGCAUAUGGCUGCAGACUUGAAAAACAAACUAUUUGUUUGAGUACGUGUGGUUUUAAACUUGAUGUCAGGGAGGAAAAAAAGUGGUGUGAGUGAGAAAGGGAGAGCAGGCCAGAGCCACUCCUGGUUGGCAGAAGGACACUGAGAGACAAGCAGAGGGGACGGAUGAUCAAAGAGGGGAGAUGUGACCCUCAGAAUAACCAAAGAGGGAUAGAGUCCAACCAUUUCUGCAGAAAAUACAACAUUGAAAGGAAAGAAGCUGAAAUCAGGCAAUCCUGAAGCAGUGUGCAGUGCUGGAAGCGUGGACGCAGAAAGAGGGCAGCGGGCAGGAGGUGAAACCUUGGAAGCAUGAAAGUCAACGGGCUGCAGCGGGGCAGGAGGACGAGAGGACCUCUGCGCUGCCCCUGUCCAGGCACAUGGCGGUGGUGAGGGCUCGACACACGCACGCGUCUUCCCAGAGAAAAGGGCAUAGCGCAGCACCGAGGGUGACUGCACUGCAGCUAGCAAAGACAAGCCUUUUGCACAAGACGGAAACCCAACAGACACACACCAAACUGGUUUAGCACCAGCUGAGCUAUUAUAUUUUUAAUCCUUGCAUUGUACAAACAAACCUAAUUUUUAUCAGGUUAUUGUCCUCCCACUGCUUUCCUCUGCAGCUGAUGCUCUGUCAAUAUCUUUUACCCUAAUAUAUAGGCUACAUUAUAAUGAUGCUUCAGUGCCCUAGGUGUCAAAGAGGCAGCAGCAAGAACUUCACUUUGAUAACUGUG